UGCAUCGGCCGGAAAUCGAACCCGGGCCGCCAGCGUGGUAGGCGAGCAUUCUACCACUUAACCACUGAUGG
This 71-nucleotide transfer RNA is filed under the name Cordylochernes scorpioides. RNAcentral's name for it is "tRNA-Gly". The record is from RNAcentral. Lineage: Eukaryota; Metazoa; Arthropoda; Arachnida; Pseudoscorpiones; Chernetidae.